Molecule: long non-coding RNA, 1995 nt
Filed under: Homo sapiens (human)
Lineage: Eukaryota; Metazoa; Chordata; Mammalia; Primates; Hominidae
Description: non-protein coding lnc-ICOSLG-9:4
Source: RNAcentral
CUUCCGGUGGUGGCUGAGGGCUCGUGCUCGAGGCUGAGGGAUGCUGGUGACUCCCGGGGUCCCCAGCCCCGCCCCCAUCGGACGCCUCCACAGGCGGCGCACCCUUUCCGCCAUCCGCAGAGCAAGGCUGCCUCGGGGCGGCUCAGUCCGGCGCUUCUUACCUUACCUCCGUCUCAUCCUUAACUCACCACGAGCGUCCAGGGUCCACAUCCUCCUAAAUGGCCACUCGUCUUAAUCUCGGCGUCAGGACCCACGCGGGGUCAGGACUACCCCUCCGCUUCCAUGACUGUCUCCUCGCGGCUCCGGCUCCCACGGAGCGACCCCUCCGGGUUUUACUGACCCCGGGAUGUUGUAUCCUGGAAACUGCAGUUCCACCCAGGGGCUUGAUCUGGGUUAGUCUGGGGGCAAGUGAGCCGCCGAUUCUGUUUGGGUUUUUUUUUUUUUUUUUUUGAGACGGAGUUUCCCUCUUGUUGCCCGGGCUGGAGUGCAAUGGCGCGAAGUCGGCUCAACGCAACCUCCGCCUCCCAGGUUCAAGCGACUCUUCUGCCUCAGCCUCCCAAGUAGCUGGGACUACAGGCAUGCGCCACCACGCCAGGCUAAUUUUGUAUUUUUAGUAGAGACGGGGUUUCUCCAUGUUGGUCUGGCUGGUCUUGAACUCCCGAGCUCAGGUGAUCUGCCCGCCUCGGACUCCCAAAGUGCUGGGAUUACAGGCGUGAGCCACCAUUCCCGGGCGCUGUUUGGGUUUGUUUUUUUGUUUUUGUUUUUUACGUUCACAGCAUGGACGGUCAGUGUGAAGAUCCCAGCUGCUCGGGUCCUAGCUGGAAUUCUUCCAUUAAAAAAAUCUGUUUGUUAUGCAUGGGUUAGUUCACAGAGGAAUAGCUGGAUAAGUGCUGGCUUUUUCCCCGAUUUACCCAUUUUCAACCUAAUAAUGCAGGUUUUUGAAAUAAUGUGAAUGGUUACUGCUGGCGGAUGUUCACAGGGACACACCGGAUUCUACAGACACAUCUGAUGAUCUAGCCACGGCUGUCACUUUCCCCACUGCCGCGUUGUCCAUCACUAGGACUUUACUGCCAAUCCUUGCAAGAUAGUGGGGAACUAGAAUAACAGACAUGGGACAUUACCAGUUACAACCAAAGACAAGCUUGGCACAUUUGACUGUCCUCGUUCCUGCUCCUCCGUGCCUGGCCCUCUUCAGGCUUCUCAGCUCCUGGGGAGCGGCCAGCCAGGGAGCAUCAGCUGGUGGGAGCGAUGGGGUUGUGGGAUGGCACAAAAAAACACCAAGCGCCACUCAGAAAGGAAAUGCCGAAUGCAGACUCUCACUCAGUCGGUGUGGGGGCCAGGACCCUGUCUCUACCAAGUGUGCGGGAGCUGCCCCUGGCCGGGAGCUCCCAGACCCCACUGCAGAUAUCAGCUCCACUUCCCAGAUAAGCAAGGGAGCCAGGUACUACCCAGGGUCUUGGGGGCCACACCGCUGGCGAGGGACAGGCUGGGCCUGGCAGACAGCACUGGCAGUCGGUGAAGUGCCCACCUCAGUGUCAGCCUCAGGUCCUGACCCUGGAGGCUGCUGUUACUGAGCUGUGGGGACCAGGAUGCCCUACCAUGAUGGAGACCCAAGCCUCUCUCAUGAUGACUAUUCCCAAGGGCACUGCAGAGGGGAGGAGCUGUCUCCUCCUCCGUGUGGCCCACGCAGAGCUGGUGCAGGUCUGAGUGAGCUCACCAAGACAGGCCAAUCCCAGCCCCAGACUCCAAAGCAUCCCCAAGAGGUCAGGGAGAGGCUCUGUGCCCCUGACCCCAAGGAUAUGCACAGGUCACAAGGCAGAGCCCCCGCUAGACAGCAGGAGCACCCUGCUCUGUCAGCCUGCUUCCCCAGGACGGAGGCCCUGGUGGUAAGGCAGGCAGGUCUUGAGCCCCCACAAGACAGCAGGAUACAACAUAACCCUUUUUAAUCUGAAGUGUAGACUUCAUCCUCACGUUAGAAAACUCCAUCUUUUUUUU